AUGUUGAACAAGAAAAGGAACAAUAUUAAUCCCCUGGUAAAAAUAAAAAAGCAUUUAUCCUUCAAUUCCACUAUCAAGACGUAGAAUGGAUCCUUGGGCAACUUGCGAAGAAGAAAUGUUAAAGAUUGUUUUCCCAUCUUGGCAAUUCAGCGGCUGUCAUUACACUCCACGACGCCACUAUGCACAUCACCGCAUAUAUUCAAGUGUUGUGCCACUAGAAGAUUUUUGCUCCGUCAUGGUAAUCCAACAACUGUCAUUCUACACACUUUCCACAUCUCAAACUAUGCAGAUCUUUUGACUUUGUCCUACUUUUCGGUGUUUGUCUCUAAAUCCACCUUUUUGUUGAAUCAAGAUCUUCGUGACCUCCUCAUUUUGGCUGUAUUUUUUUUCCUAGUUUGAACUCAAGUGGUUGAGUUGUGUCUUUCAACAAAU
This is a long non-coding RNA of Impatiens glandulifera, 432 nucleotides long. RefSeq lists it as uncharacterized. The transcript has 3 exons. Lineage: Eukaryota; Viridiplantae; Streptophyta; Magnoliopsida; Ericales; Balsaminaceae. The record is from RefSeq and is a predicted model, not a curated record.